RNAcentral lists this ribosomal RNA (1486 nucleotides) under Mycobacterium angelicum. Its description in RNAcentral is "16S ribosomal RNA". It matches the Rfam family "Bacterial small subunit ribosomal RNA". Lineage: Bacteria; Bacillati; Actinomycetota; Actinomycetes; Mycobacteriales; Mycobacteriaceae. The record is from RNAcentral.
GACGAACGCUGGCGGCGUGCUUAACACAUGCAAGUCGAACGGAAAGGCCCCUUCGGGGGUACUCGAGUGGCGAACGGGUGAGUAACACGUGGGUAAUCUGCCCUGCACUUCGGGAUAAGCCUGGGAAACUGGGUCUAAUACCGGAUAGGACCCCGAGGCGCAUGCCUUGGGGUGGAAAGCUUUUGCGGUGUGGGAUGGGCCCGCGGCCUAUCAGCUUGUUGGUGGGGUGACGGCCUACCAAGGCGACGACGGGUAGCCGGCCUGAGAGGGUGUCCGGCCACACUGGGACUGAGAUACGGCCCAGACUCCUACGGGAGGCAGCAGUGGGGAAUAUUGCACAAUGGGCGCAAGCCUGAUGCAGCGACGCCGCGUGGGGGAUGACGGCCUUCGGGUUGUAAACCUCUUUCACCAUCGACGAAGGUCCGGGUUUUCUCGGAUUGACGGUAGGUGGAGAAGAAGCACCGGCCAACUACGUGCCAGCAGCCGCGGUAAUACGUAGGGUGCGAGCGUUGUCCGGAAUUACUGGGCGUAAAGAGCUCGUAGGUGGUUUGUCGCGUUGUUCGUGAAAUCUCACGGCUUAACUGUGAGCGUGCGGGCGAUACGGGCAGACUGGAGUACUGCAGGGGAGACUGGAAUUCCUGGUGUAGCGGUGGAAUGCGCAGAUAUCAGGAGGAACACCGGUGGCGAAGGCGGGUCUCUGGGCAGUAACUGACGCUGAGGAGCGAAAGCGUGGGGAGCGAACAGGAUUAGAUACCCUGGUAGUCCACGCCGUAAACGGUGGGUACUAGGUGUGGGUUUCCUUCCUUGGGAUCCGUGCCGUAGCUAACGCAUUAAGUACCCCGCCUGGGGAGUACGGCCGCAAGGCUAAAACUCAAAGGAAUUGACGGGGGCCCGCACAAGCGGCGGAGCAUGUGGAUUAAUUCGAUGCAACGCGAAGAACCUUACCUGGGUUUGACAUGCACAUGGACGCGUCUAGAGAUAGGCGUUCCCUUGUGGCCUGUGUGCAGGUGGUGCAUGGCUGUCGUCAGCUCGUGUCGUGAGAUGUUGGGUUAAGUCCCGCAACGAGCGCAACCCUUGUCUCAUGUUGCCAGCGGGUAAUGCCGGGGACUCGUGAGAGACUGCCGGGGUCAACUCGGAGGAAGGUGGGGAUGACGUCAAGUCAUCAUGCCCCUUAUGUCCAGGGCUUCACACAUGCUACAAUGGCCGGUACAAAGGGCUGCGAUGCCGCGAGGUUAAGCGAAUCCUUUUAAAGCCGGUCUCAGUUCGGAUCGGGGUCUGCAACUCGACCCCGUGAAGUCGGAGUCGCUAGUAAUCGCAGAUCAGCAACGCUGCGGUGGAUACGUUCCCGGGCCUUGUACACACCGCCCGUCACGUCAUGAAAGUCGGUAACACCCGAAGCCAGUGGCCUAACCCUUGGGAGGGAGCUGUCGAAGGUGGGAUCGGCGAUUGGGACGAAUGUCGUAACGAGGUACGCCGUACCGGAAGG